RNAcentral lists this long non-coding RNA (1887 nucleotides) under Salvia miltiorrhiza (redroot sage). Its description in RNAcentral is "long non-coding RNA (SMIL_LNC006312)". Lineage: Eukaryota; Viridiplantae; Streptophyta; Magnoliopsida; Lamiales; Lamiaceae. The record is from RNAcentral.
CAACAACCAAAUUUAACAGAGGUUAAGAUAUGCACAACACAGAUAACUAACUAAUCAAAGUGUUGGACAUCCAGUUGGAGAUUCAUAUUGCAUCUCUCUCCUCUCACAAACAAUAUUACAAAAUUGACUUACAGGGGCUCUUAAUCUCAUUCAUUAACACUUAACAGGACGAUGCCUACUUGGAGAAAAUAAAAAGUGAAAUAAGGAGGAAUCAAAUCCUCACCUGAAAUAUAGAACAAAUAUGCACCAUAUAUAAGGCCAUAUUAUUCCAGUAUUAUUCUAAAGUAAAAUAUACAAAAUACCUUUAGAAAUACCUUAAACCUAAAAUGACUGGAACCACACAUCUCUUUCUUCCUCUUACCUUCUUCUCCCUCUAUCCUCUGCUCACUCUGGCCGAUAGCAGCAGCCAUACGCUGCCACCAUCUCCGCCCUCUGCCCCUGAUUCGACUACUCAGCCAACAACACACACACUACACCAAGGAAUCCCCCCUUUUCCUGACUCGGUACAGCAGCAGCGCCCCUACCAAUUGUAUUAGUAAAAAAAAUGCAAAUAAAAAAGAAGUUGUUAGUGCAAGAAGAAUCCAUGUAGAUGCUAUCUUUAACAUCAAAUCUACUACCCAAUAAAUUUCACCAAUCAUUUGCACACAUAUCAAAAUUCAAUUGUAGACUUUCAACGGAUUCACAAGCUGUAGUAUGAAAAUGUCCAGGUUUUAGAACAUAAGGAUAUGAGCUAAAGCAGAGAAACACGAAACUUGAAUCAGUCUUCUGAUGCUUAUGUAGGCCAUGAAGAAACCAAAAAAAAAAUUGAUCUUUAUAUAUUAUCUACACUCUAUGCAAAGGGGAAAGUAUCAAUCCUGUUGGCACUAAAGAGAACGCGGCACCAACAAAAAUCAAGGCAAAAAUGAUGGUAAAAGCCAGCUAUAACAUAAACAAAGCCAACUAUAACAUAAACAAAUAUAAUCAAAAGUUAUCAUUGAUUUACACCACUGACAAUUCAAUAAAGCUUAAUAAAUCUAUAUAACCAAUCAAGAAAAUAAAUCCAAAAGAAAGAAACAACAACUAAAUCCAAUCUGCAACACGGAGAUAAAGGUAAAUUGCGGCGAUCUCAAAACACAUUUGGGAAAAUAAUAAUAUUUUUAAAAAAUAAAUAAUGAAAUUAAGCUUACUUUGAACCAGAACGAAGAGUGGAAGCCACAAAUCACCAUUGAUUGGCUGUAAAACUCUCAUCAUUUGAACUAAUGAAUUUAUAGCUAAAACCUAGAUUAUUAAGUUUCCAUUGUUAAUUUGUAUCUAAAAUUGGCUGCUUAUUGAUUGAUAGGUAAAUCAUAUAAUCGUAUUGCAUAAUGAUUCUUUCCAAAAUUUGUUCUUUCUAAAAUUCACACUAAUCAUUCCAUAUUCAUAAUAAUCAAAUAUAAUCUUUCCUAAUAGAAUACUUACCAUGGCUAAUCAAGAACUGUUUCGGAGCCAAGUAAUGUCCGACGGAUUGACGGCGGUGGUGCCAGACGCAAGGCAGCCAUUGGCGGCAGCGUCGACUUGGGGGUAGGGCUGUUUCGGGAAGAGAGAGCUAGGUGUUGAAACGGGAGGAAGGGGCGGCGACACUGACUUGGGGCCGGACUGCGGUGAAUUGAAGCGAGGGAGGGAGACUCUGGUGUUGAAACGGGGAAAGGAGAAGGGGCGGCGGCGCUGACUUGGGACGGCGAAUCGACACGGGGGAGGGAGAGUCUGUGAAAUUAGGAUUUGGGAAUUUUGGGGGAGAAAGAACCGGUGUGGAAAUGGGGGGGCAGAUCGCGGCGGGGGAAGGGGACGUAGUGGUCCGGCGAAGCAGAUCGCAGCGGUGGGAGGGGCGGGGCGCGGUGGGGGAGUAGAGACGGGAGAGAAGGGGAUGGG